GUUUUUGUGGGUAAUGAAGGCGUGCAAAAGUUUCCUCAGGCAGGACGGAAAUUAGCCCUCGAGUGCAAAGGUAAAAGGGAGCUUGACUGCAAGACCCACCUGUCAAGCAAGAACGAAAGUCGGCCUUAGUGAUUCGACAGUGUCGAGUGGAAAGGUUAUUAUUCAAC
Ribosomal RNA from Gossypium raimondii (Peruvian cotton), 167 nucleotides. It matches the Rfam family "Bacterial large subunit ribosomal RNA", at positions 2285 to 2453 of the family's 2925-position model. The record is from Rfam. NCBI's taxonomy places the organism in Eukaryota, Viridiplantae, Streptophyta, Magnoliopsida, Malvales, Malvaceae.